RNAcentral lists this ribosomal RNA (253 nucleotides) under uncultured bacterium. Its description in RNAcentral is "partial 16S ribosomal RNA". It matches the Rfam family "Bacterial small subunit ribosomal RNA", at positions 524 to 776 of the family's 1533-position model. The record is from RNAcentral.
UACGAAGGGGGCUAGCGUUGUUCGGAGUUACUGGGCGUAAAGGGCGCGUAGGCGGCCUGGUCAGUCUGGUGUGAAAGCCCGGGGCUCAACCCCGGAAUUGCACUGGAGACGGCCAAGCUUGAGUGUGGGAGAGGAUGGUGGAAUUCCCAGUGUAGAGGUGAAAUUCGUAGAUAUUGGGAAGAACACCGGUGGCGAAGGCGGCCAUCUGGACCAUUACUGACGCUGAGGCGCGAAAGCGUGGGGAGCAAACAGG